This 222-nucleotide ribosomal RNA is filed under the name uncultured Glomeromycotina. Its description in RNAcentral is "partial 18S ribosomal RNA". The stretch from base 31 to 222 matches the Rfam family "Eukaryotic small subunit ribosomal RNA", at positions 677 to 870 of the family's 1831-position model. Lineage: Eukaryota; Fungi; Glomeromycota. The record is from RNAcentral.
GGACCAUCAUGUCGGUCGUGCCUCGGUACGUACUGGUAUUGUUGGUUUCUCCCUUCUGCAGAACCAUGAUGUCAUUUAUUUGGUGUUGUGGGGAAUCAGGACUGUUACUUUUUGAAAAAUUAGAGUGUUUAAAGCAGGCUCACGCUUGAAUACAUUAGCAUGGAAUAAUGAAAUAGGACGUUUGAUUCUAUUUUGUUGGUUUCUAGGACCGCCGUAAUGAUU